Molecule: ribosomal RNA, 465 nt
Filed under: uncultured bacterium
Lineage: Bacteria
Description: partial 16S ribosomal RNA
Rfam family: Bacterial small subunit ribosomal RNA
Source: RNAcentral
GAUGAACGCUGGCGGCGUGCUUAACACAUGCAAGUCGAACGGAAAGGCUCCUGCUUGCAGGGGUACUCGAGUGGCGAACGGGUGAGUAACACGUGGGUGAUCUGCCCUGCACUUCGGGAUAAGCCUGGGAAACUGGGUCUAAUACCGGAUAGGACCACAUUUUGGAUGGUGUGGUGGAAAGUUUUUCGGUGUGGGAUGAGCUCGCGGCCUAUCAGCUUGUUGGUGGGGUAAUGGCCUACCAAGGCGUCGACGGGUAGCCGGCCUGAGAGGGUGUACGGCCACAUUGGGACUGAGAUACGGACCAGACUCCUACGGGAGGCAGCAGUGGGGAGUAUUGCACAAUGGGCGCAAGCCUGAUGCAGCGACGCCGCGUGGGGGAUGACGGCCUUCGGGCUGUAAACUCCUUUCGCUAGGGACGAAGCGCAAGUGACGGUACCUGGAGAAGAAGCACCGGCUAACUACGUG